This 238-nucleotide non-coding RNA is filed under the name Brassica napus (rape). Lineage: Eukaryota; Viridiplantae; Streptophyta; Magnoliopsida; Brassicales; Brassicaceae. The record is from RNAcentral.
GGUCGAUCCAGUGACCCAGCAAUCCGGUAAGUCGUCCGGUUCAGUGUCCGGGUUGGGUUUAAAAACAUUGGUCUGGUUUGAACGAAGGCUCAGAAUCAGGUGGGUGCUAAAAUCAGAGGGUAAUGUGUCAGGCUGUUUCACAGAGCAGCGACUACUUCUCGCUCUCUGCAGUGGACGGAUACGGCUCGGAGCCACUCAUACCCGCCAAUAUGGCCUGCUGGUUCGUUUUCAGUUGAAC